UACGUAGGGGGCAAGCGUUGUUCGGAACUACUGGGCGUAAAGCGCGCGCAGGCGGUUCUUCAAGUCAGUGGUGAAAGCCCGGAGCUCAACUCCGGAACUGCCAUUGAAACUGUGGAACUUGAGGAUGAGAGAGGUGAGUGGAAUUCCCAGUGUAGAGGUGAAAUUCGUAGAUAUUGGGAAGAACACCAGUGGCGAAGGCGGCUCACUGGCCCGAUACUGACGCUGAGGUGCGAAAGCGUGGGGAGCAAACAGG
This 253-nucleotide ribosomal RNA is filed under the name uncultured bacterium. RNAcentral's name for it is "partial 16S ribosomal RNA". It matches the Rfam family "Bacterial small subunit ribosomal RNA", at positions 524 to 776 of the family's 1533-position model. The record is from RNAcentral.